AAGUCGUAACAAGGUUUCCGUAGGUGAACCUGCGGAAGGAUCAUUAGAGAGAGUGCAGAGGCGGUAGAGGUGCUGUAGAGGUAUCCUGCUUGCUUUUGUGGCUGCUAACUUAGUAAAUGUGAACUGUUGUAAAUGACAGGUGGUGUGCGUGUAGUAGGGUCUGCCUCAGGGCUACCUCAGCGCACACCCCCCCCCUUUGUAUGCUUACCCUGUAUGUCUACACUAAACACAAACCAAUAGAGGUAGCACAACCUAUGAGUUGAACUUGCAAAACUUUUAGCAAUGGAUCUCUAGGCUCUU
Molecule: unclassified non-coding RNA, 300 nt
Filed under: fungal sp.
Lineage: Eukaryota; Fungi
Description: partial internal transcribed spacer region
Rfam family: Eukaryotic small subunit ribosomal RNA (bases 1-46)
Source: RNAcentral